Molecule: long non-coding RNA, 700 nt
Organism: Cyprinus carpio carpio
Lineage: Eukaryota; Metazoa; Chordata; Actinopteri; Cypriniformes; Cyprinidae
Source: Ensembl
ACAGCUGCAACUUGAGGACUAUCUGAGGAAUAUAUUGAAAAGGCCUUUAUACAGGACACAUCCUGCUACAAUGGCUGGUGGUAAAGGACUCCUUUGUUCUCUACAUGAGGCCAGAGGAUGGCCAAGUAGGCACUGUGAUUCUGUACGAUAAGGGAUUUCACAUCAAAAUAUGGACCCAGGAGACGGGAGUCAGGCAUGGAGUCACGAUUGAGAAACUUUGCAGGGCACUUACUAUCAAGUGCAGGCUCAUUGGUGGGGGCACUCCAUAGAUGUUUUUUCUUAAAUAUUUGGACAGGACUUUCUGAGGGAAAACCAUCAUGGGUCUUUCACACCUGUUAGAGUAAACACUACAUCGAAAUGGUUUGUCAACGCAGCUGGAUACUUUGAUGCCAUAGCUGUUUCUUGGAAGGAGCAAAAGAGGAAAUCUUCAUCACAGCCUGGUGGUACAGAUUAAAAUCAGUUUCAAUUACUCCCCAUUUGCCUAGCUUUUACAAUUCUGUGAGAGCUUAUGUCGCACCUUUUAAUGCACCAUUUUUUUGUACCAUUGCUAUUUUUUGUGACUGCAAUGUGAUUUGAGAUGUUUUACAAAAGGAGAAGAAUACAUAAAUGGUUUUUUAGUACUGUGGUCUCAUUGGCUAAUCAUUUUAAUGAUACUGAACCAAGCAAGUAUAUAUUUUUAAAGGAAUAGUUCAUUAGCAAG